AUGGAGACCAAAUUUGUGGCAUCCUGUCUCAAAAUCUUCCUCCUCAUCUACUGCUUUGGCUUUUGGAGCACUGGGGUUAUCUUGUUGGGUUUUGGAGUCUGGGGAGCGCUUACUCUGGGCGUGUAUCUCUCUCUUGUUGCCGUAGAUGUUCCCGCUGUGCUCAUCGGAACUGGUAUCACGAUUAUAAUUUUUGGUUUAUUUGGAUGCUUUUCUGCAUGCCGAGGAAGCCCACGGAUGCUGAAGCUGUAUUCUCUGAUUCUGUCACUGGUGUUCCUGGCUGAGCUUGCUGCUAGCAUCUCAGGGAUUUUACUUCACAGCGAAAUCAAGAACAGAUUCCUGAAGAUUUAUACCAAUGCUGUACGGAAUUAUAACAGCAAUGAUAGGAAGAGCCAGGCCGUGGACCAGGUGCAGUAUAAUCUGAUGUGCUGUGGGGUGAAGAAUUACACAGACUGGAAUGACAACCCCUACUUCCUGAAUCAUGGUAUCCCCCACAGUUGCUGCAAGGAUGAAACUGACUGUGAUAUCCAGGAUCGACACAAUCUGACCGCAGUUGCCACCAAAGUUAACCAGAGGGGCUGCUAUGUUCUGAUGGUAGGUUUCUUAGAGGCAAACAUGGUCAUCAUCAUUGGAGUGCUGUUUGCAGUCACAUUUUCCCAGUUGAUUGGCGUGAGGUUGUCCUGUUGUCUGUCCCGGCUCAUCAUGACCCAACACUAUGAGACAGUGUUUAACGUUAAAAGAGAAAUAGACUAAGGAGCCUGUUUCCAAGAAGAACUACUACGUCCUCUGCAAAGAGCAGUAGUGCACAGAACUCAUCUGUCCUGCUCUCAUGGCCGUCUUCCUCAGGGCCUGCCCCAUACACGUUGCUGGCACUCCUACAUGAUCUCUGCUCCGACUUUUAGACCACAAGAAGUGUCCUGUUCAUCUCAUGAAGCCCCGCUUUGUUACACAGUGUAACCACCUGCAGCUAGUCAUAGUGAAUCCCACCCCAUGGCCCUGUGCGUGCAAGCUCUUCCUCCUGAAUCGGGUUCAAAUGCAGGUUAUUGUGGGAGGCUAGUUAUCACAUCAUCACUGGCCUCUUGUGGCCCUGAAUGAAGUAUGGGAGGUUGCCAGUCCUUUAUCAUGGUCCAUAAAAGCCAUGCACCUUUCGAGAGAUAA
This is an RNA transcript of Mus pahari (shrew mouse), 1155 nucleotides long. It is a transcript of the gene named tetraspanin-7 pseudogene, with no coding region annotated. Lineage: Eukaryota; Metazoa; Chordata; Mammalia; Rodentia; Muridae. The transcript has a single exon. The record is from RefSeq and is a predicted model, not a curated record.